AAGUAUGGGAAUGCCGUCACUGGAGCAACACUAAGCUCAACGGUCACCGUGCGGAGAGCGCUGCCAGCCGUUGAGGAGACUGAGAAAGGAGAGGGCGAGUUGGUCCCCGAGUUGGUCCCUACACUCCGCGAGUCCCCUUGCGCCCCUCCCAACAAUGGGUAGGAGCCAGCAUUUGGGGGAACUUCGCACCCUGACAAAGUGAAGGGGAAUGUUUCCAUUCCCACCCUGUAGCUAACUAGGAAUGUGCGCUCCAUUUCCUGGCCUCCCAGGCAUCCUGGCUCUUCUCAGCGCCAGGAUGACACCAGACCAGGUGUGAGUGGCUGAACAGAGAUGCCUCCUCAUCUUUUCAAGAGGCCCCUGGCCAGGCUGGCAGCAUUGGAGUACAGAUACAAUAGGAGUGGGAUGGACACGGGUGAAUAUAAUGUAUUGCCAUGUGCUGUAGAUGCCCCACCCAGACUCCCAUUCUUGGGCUCUGGCACCUCCCUCCAGCUGCUGUGACUGUAGACUGCUUACAGCUCACCAUUGCCCCUAAUGAGAAUUGCCCUCUGCUGACAAAAGCUCUUAACCUACACCCUUCUAUCCCCACAUCCACAAUGUUUGACUGACAUAUCAGACAUAAUUCAAGGCUACCCCUUGCCUCCACAGGGACAACUCUGCAGAGCCCUUUUUGCUCCAAACCCCUUUCUGCUCACAGUCAGGCCAAGGCUCAGCUGGACCUAUGAGUACAACUCUUGUCCAGCUCCUCCCUCUUUUUUGACCUCCCUCACCCCUGAGACCUCUUCAGACCCUUCUCCAAUAAAGCUCGUACAUCGUACUCUCUGUCCAGCUCUACUUCUAGGGACCUGUUCCCACCUUGCUUCCCCACUCCCCUACUGGUGUUGUCCCAAAGCAUCUUCCAGAUAAAUGACUUAUCCUGGAGUGCUUGACUCAGAGCCCACCUCUAGGAAAACCCAAACUCAUACAUUGUAUUUCUCAGGCUUCCUUGGGCACUUUCCUCUCUCCCCCAUGUGAGAUCCCAUGAUUCAGUCAUCAUCUUCUUGCCCCAAACUCCCAAAUCUGUCUCUAGCCUGGGUACAUGAUCCUUCCUACCCAUCUAGGGCCUCCUGCACCUCUGUUCCAGUCUCACAGAAGCACCAAAGCAUAGCCCACCAGUGCUGAAUGCAACAUCUGCACCCUCCAGUCUUCAUCUUCCCAAGACUUCUUCACCUCCCUCCCAGGGGCCCAAACAGCGCCCUGCCCACCAGGUCUACCUCCAGUCGCCAAAAAUAACAUGAGUAACAA
Molecule: long non-coding RNA, 1281 nt
Organism: Hyaena hyaena (striped hyena)
Lineage: Eukaryota; Metazoa; Chordata; Mammalia; Carnivora; Hyaenidae
Exons: 3
Source: RefSeq, a predicted model, not a curated record